UACGUAGGGUCCAAGCGUUAUCCGGAAUCACUGGGCGUAAAGCGUGCGUAGGUGGCUUGUUAAGUGAGAUGUGAAAGCGUGUGGCUCAACCAUAUCGUUGUGUCUCAUACUGGCAAGCUAGAGGACAGCAGAGGCAAGUGGAAUUGGCAGUGUAGCAGUGAAAUGCGUAGAGAUUGCCAGGAACACCAAUGGCGAAGGCAGCUUGCUGGGCUACUCCUGACACUGAGGUACGAAAGCGUGGGGAGCGAACAGG
This 253-nucleotide ribosomal RNA is filed under the name uncultured bacterium. Its description in RNAcentral is "partial 16S ribosomal RNA". It matches the Rfam family "Bacterial small subunit ribosomal RNA", at positions 524 to 776 of the family's 1533-position model. The record is from RNAcentral.